This 492-nucleotide ribosomal RNA is filed under the name uncultured bacterium. RNAcentral's name for it is "partial 16S ribosomal RNA". It matches the Rfam family "Bacterial small subunit ribosomal RNA", at positions 29 to 507 of the family's 1533-position model. The record is from RNAcentral.
AGUGAACGCUGGCGGUAGGCCUAACACAUGCAAGUCGAACGGCAGCACAGUAAGAGCUUGCUCUUACGGGUGGCGAGUGGCGGACGGGUGAGGAAUACAUCGGAAUCUACUUUUUCGUGGGGGAUAACGUAGGGAAACUUACGCUAAUACCGCAUACGACCUACGGGUGAAAGCAGGGGAUCUUCGGACCUUUCGCGAUUGAAUGAGCCGAUGUCGGAUUAGCUAGUUGGCGGGGUAAAGGCCCACCAAGGCGACGAUCCGUAGCUGGUCUGGGAGGAUGAUCAGCCACACUGGAACUGAGACACGGUCCAUACUCCUACGGGAGGCAGCAGUGGGGAAUAUUGGACAAUGGGCGCAAGCCUGAUCCAGCGAUACCGCGUGGGUGAAGAAGGCCUUCGGGUUGUAAAGCCCUUUUGUUGGGAAAGAAAAGCAGCAGGUUAAUACCCCGCUGUUCUGACGGUACCCAAAGAAUAAGCACCGGCUAACUUCGUG